CACAAACCAUCACCCACCUGAGUGCACUUUCUGACGGUGCACAGGUUUACCUCACACAGCCUAGUCAGGAAAGAGCAUCUUUUGAGGAGGGUGUGACCUACUUUUUAAAAGCUUACACACUCUCCCCCAGGUAUGAGCAACAGUGAAUAUUCUUGUAUCCAAAAGCCAUCGUUCACAGGACCACUCGUUUUUCACUCAUGAGGGAACAGCAACGGCUGGCCAGAGAAGCGCUUGUUCCCCAUCCUGUAUGACUACUGCUGAAGAACAGGACCUCUUUUCCAGGGGGGGGUACCUGUCAGUGCAAGGACUAAUCAAAAAUGUGAGUUCAUUGGUCUUGCCAAACACUGUAUAUUAUUGUUAACUUUGUAAUAAUAUAGUUUCAUUUUAAGUAAACUUUUUAUAAUACAUGCAUAAUAAAUGAAACGGCAUACUUUGAUCAUAAUUGUAAUUUCCCAAAUACGUUUCUGUUUGGUGUGGUCUUGGCUGAUUUAAAUUGAUCUUCAACUGAAAAAUAGUAUUUCUUGAACCUGUGGCUUAAUGUGAAAUCAGACAUACUGGCCAUCAUAAUGACCUUUAGUGUAUGUAGUUGCGUGUUCCCAGGAUGACCUGUUUGGGACGCUGAAGUGCCUAUCCUUGACUUCAGACUGAAAUGUGGCCUCAAAGUGCUCGAGGUCUUUUUCUGGCAAGAACGGGCAAUGACAGAACUCCACCUCAAUGAAGAUUAGCCACCUCAAAGCCAGUAUUAGGGCGGAUGCAAGCUAAACUCAACAUCCUACGCCACUGUCGAGGUACGUUAUAUGUUCAUUCUGCCCCCUCCCAAAAACGAAUCUAAAACAACAUUUUGGGGCAGAGGCAGGGUCUUUCUAGGGGCCCAGACCUGUCCCUUGUGUAAAUGCUUUUUAAAGCGAUUUAAGAGGAACAUAAAAGAUUAUGGGCACCAGGAGCUCUCGCAUAAGAAGAGGCACAAGACCCCCAGAAGGGUGGAGCUGAGGGUCACCAUGUAGUGGCUGUGGGACCCUCAAGAAGGAACGGCACGAGCGUGUGGAAAAGCCAGAGGAGGCCGCCCACUCUGCCAUCCCUUAAGCCACACCCUCCGCAUCUCCUGACCCUCCCCAGGACAUCUUCUUUGCCAUGUCCCCCAGACUCUUUUCUCCGGACACCACUGACUCUCUUGAGUCGUUGAACAACGGUGGAGGAAUGGGUUUUUUGGAGAUGCUGGGUAAAUCUUAAAGGAGUAGUUGACCCUGAAAUUAAAAUUCUUAAAGUCACCAUGAAAUCAAGCAGGAAAAUUCUAACAGUUUUACAAUGUUGCAGUGAUUAUUAUAAAUGAUGUAUGCGUGCACACCAUUAUUUUUUUAUUCAUUUGCACUUGUAAUCUUUACUCAAAAACAUUAAGCUCCUCUGCCCCUCUAACAACAACUCUUCACCACAUGACAUCAGCAACAAAAAAGAGGUAGAAUUAUACUGACUGUCCAAUGGCCAGGCAUCUUUAGCCCUCCCCUGCAGGCCCUAUUUACAACAAACCAAUCAAAAAGGGAAGGGCAAAAUAAAGCCCCGCCUUACAUUUUUUCUAAUUUCGGUUGCACAUUUAUGGAAUGAUCUGCCCGCUGCUACAAGAUCAGCAGAUUCUGUAGCCAUCUUUAAAGGUGCGGUGACGUGGUGUUGUUUAUUGUUUUAUACUGUUGUACAAGGAGACCAGUGUUCGAAUUGUGUCAAGGCUCUUGGGGGGUCCCCUGAUCACUGCCUGGUUCACUUUAUCCCAGCCUACAGGCAGAAACUAAAAGCUGCCAAACCUAUGGUAAGGACUGUUAAAAGAUGGACCAACGAAACAGAGUGGGCCUUACAAGCCUGUUUCGAGUGCACCGAUUGGAGUGUUUUUGAAGCUGCUCCCAGCAAUCUGGACGAGCUCACAGAGACUGUAACAUCAUACAUCAGUUUCUGUGAGGAUUUGUGCAUUCCUACCAGGACUUCCUUAAAAUACAACAAUGAUAAACCAUGGUUCUCAGCAAAACUCAGACAGAUUCGCCAAGCCAAGGAGGAUGCCUACAGAAAAGGGGACAAAGUCUUGUACAAGCAGGCUAGGAACACAUUGACAAAGGAGAUCAGAGUGGCUAAGAGAAACUACUCUAAAAAGUUGGAAAACCGGUU
Long non-coding RNA from Triplophysa rosa, 2148 nucleotides. RefSeq lists it as uncharacterized. The record is from RefSeq and is a predicted model, not a curated record. The transcript is spliced from 4 exons. Lineage: Eukaryota; Metazoa; Chordata; Actinopteri; Cypriniformes; Nemacheilidae.